Molecule: ribosomal RNA, 468 nt
Filed under: uncultured bacterium
Lineage: Bacteria
Description: partial 16S ribosomal RNA
Rfam family: Bacterial small subunit ribosomal RNA
Source: RNAcentral
GAUGAACGCUGGCGGCGUGCUUAACACAUGCAAGUCGAACGGAAAGGCCCUGCUUUUGUGUGUUGCUCGAGUGGCGAACGGGUGAGUAACACGUGAGUAACCUGCCCUUGACUUUGUGGUAACUUCUGGAAACUGGGGCUCAUACCCGAUAUGAGCUCCUGCUGCGUGGUGUGGGUUGGAAAGUUUCGGCGGUGGGGGAUGGACUCGAGGGUUAUGAGCUUGUUGGUGGGGUAGUGGCGUACCAGGUUUUUGACGGGUAGCCUGCCUGAGAGGGUGACCGGCCACAUUGGGACUGAGAUACGGCCCAGACUCCUACGGGAGGCAGAAGUGGGGAAUAUUGCACAAUGGGCGGAAGCCUGAUGCAGCAACGCCGCGUGCGGGAUGACGGCCUUCGGGUUGUAAACCGCUUUCGCCUGUGACGAAGCGUGAGUGACGGUAAUGGGUAAAGAAGCACCGGCUAACUACGUG